GAAGAUGUAACGGGGCUAAACCAUGCACCGAAGCUGCGGCAGCGAACGUAUCACCCAAGACAACUUUACGGAGUUGACGAUUGACGGAGCGAAGCGACGUCAAAGCGUUCAUUAAAGUCGAGUUGGCUUAGGGAUACGUUCGUUGGGUAGGGGAGCGUUCUGUAAGCCUGUGAAGGUGUGUCGUGAGGCAUGCUGGAGGUAUCAGAAGUGCGAAUGCUGACAUAAGUAACGAUAAAGCGGGUGAAAAGCCCGCUCGCCGGAAGACCAAGGGUUCCUGUCCAACGUUAAUCGGGGCAGGGUGAGUCGACCCCUAAGGCGAGGCCGAAAGGCGUAGUCGAUGGGAAACGGGUUAAUAUUCCCGUACUUGGUGUUACUGCGAAGGGGGGACGGAGAAGGCUAUGUUGGCCGGGCGACGGUUGUCCCGGUUUAAGCGUGUAGGUGUGUGUUCCAGGUAAAUCCGGUUCACUUUAACACUGAGGCGUGACGACGAGGCACUACGGUGCUGAAGCAACAAAUGCCCUGCUUCCAGGAAAAGCCUCUAAGCAUCAGGUAACAUCAAAUCGUACCCCAAACCGACACAGGUGGUCAGGUAGAGAAUACCAAGGCGCUUGAGAGAACUCGGGUGAAGGAACUAGGCAAAAUGGUGCCGUAACUUCGGGAGAAGGCACGCUGACACGUAGGUGAAGUGAUUUACUCAUGGAGCUGAAGUCAGUCGAAGAUACCAGCUGGCUGCAACUGUUUAUUAAAAACACAGCACUGUGCAAACACGAAAGUGGACGUAUACGGUGUGACGCCUGCCCGGUGCCGGAAGGUUAAUUGAUGGGGUCAGCGCAAGCGAAGCUCCUGAUCGAAGCCCCGGUAAACGGCGGCCGUAACUAUAACGGUCCUAAGGUAGCGAAAUUCCUUGUCGGGUAAGUUCCGACCUGCACGAAUGGCGUAAUGAUGGCCAGGCUGUCUCCACCCGAGACUCAGUGAAAUUGAACUCGCUGUGAAGAUGCAGUGUACCCGCGGCAAGACGGAAAGACCCCGUGAACCUUUACUAUAGCUUGACACUGAACAUUGAGCCUUGAUGUGUAGGAUAGGUGGGAGGCUUUGAAGUGUGGACGCCAGUCUGCAUGGAGCCGACCUUGAAAUACCACCCUUUAAUGUUUGAUGUUCUAACGUGGACCCGUAAUCCGGGUUGCGGACAGUGUCUGGUGGGUAGUUUGACUGGGGCGGUCUCCUCCUAAAGAGUAACGGAGGAGCACGAAGGUUGGCUAAUCCUGGUCGGACAUCAGGAGGUUAGUGCAAUGGCAUAAGCCAGCUUGACUGCGAGCGUGACGGCGCGAGCAGGUGCGAAAGCAGGUCAUAGUGAUCCGGUGGUUCUGAAUGGAAGGGCCAUCGCUCAACGGAUAAAAGGUACUCCGGGGAUAACAGGCUGAUACCGCCCAAGAGUUCAUAUCGACGGCGGUGUUUGGCACCUCGAUGUCGGCUCAUCACAUCCUGGGGCUGAAGUAGGUCCCAAGGGUAUGGCUGUUCGCCAUUUAAAGUGGUACGCGAGCUGGGUUUAGAACGUCGUGAGACAGU
RNAcentral lists this ribosomal RNA (1566 nucleotides) under Salmonella enterica subsp. enterica serovar Typhimurium. Its description in RNAcentral is "partial 23S ribosomal RNA". It matches the Rfam family "Bacterial large subunit ribosomal RNA", at positions 1166 to 2630 of the family's 2925-position model. The record is from RNAcentral. Lineage: Bacteria; Pseudomonadati; Pseudomonadota; Gammaproteobacteria; Enterobacterales; Enterobacteriaceae.